This 1219-nucleotide ribosomal RNA is filed under the name Polychaetophyes serpulidia. Its description in RNAcentral is "SSU rRNA". It matches the Rfam family "Eukaryotic small subunit ribosomal RNA", at positions 675 to 1789 of the family's 1831-position model. Lineage: Eukaryota; Metazoa; Arthropoda; Insecta; Hemiptera; Machaerotidae. The record is from RNAcentral.
GUGUUCCACGCUGUCGGUUCACCGCCUGUCGGUGUUAACUGGCAUGUUCUGUGGAACGUCCUGCCGGUGGCGGUCCGGGCUCUCGUUCUGCGUAAGGGUCUCCCGAAGCAGGGCGAAAAGUUUCGGCCGCCGGUUCAAUCCCGCCACGGUGCUCUUCACCGAGUGUCGAGGUGGGCCGGCACUUUUACUUUGAACAAAUUAGAGUGCUUAAAGCAGGCGGUUUCCGCCUGAAUACUGUGUGCAUGGAAUAAUGGAAUAGGACCUCGGUUCUAUUUUGUUGGUUUUCAGAACCCGAGGUAAUGAUUAAUAGGGACAGGCGGGGGCAUUCGUAUUGCGACGUUAGAGGUGAAAUUCUUGGAUCGUCGCAAGACGAACCUAAGCGAAAGCAUUUGCCAAGUAUGUUCUCGUUAAUCAAGAACGAAAGUUAGAGGUUCGAAGGCGAUCAGAUACCGCCCUAGUUCUAACCAUAAACGAUGCCAGCCAGCGAUCCGCCGAAGUUCCUCCGAUGACUCGGCGGGCAGCUUCCGGGAAACCAAAGCUUUUGGGUUCCGGGGGAAGUAUGGUUGCAAAGCUGAAACUUAAAGGAAUUGACGGAAGGGCACCACCAGGAGUGGAGCCUGCGGCUUAAUUUGACUCAACACGGGAAACCUCACCAGGCCCGGACACCGGAAGGAUUGACAGAUUGAGAGCUCUUUCUUGAUUCGGUGGGUGGUGGUGCAUGGCCGUUCUUAGUUGGUGGAGCGAUUUGUCUGGUUAAUUCCGAUAACGAACGAGACUCUAGCCUGUUAACUAGGCGAUUUCCGGUACCCACAAUAGUGUUACCGGCGAUUCAAUUUCUUCUUAGAGGGACAGGCGGCUUCUAGCCGCACGAGACUGAGCAAUAACAGGUCUGUAAUGCCCUUAGAUGUUCUGGGCCGCACGCGCGCUACACUGAAGGAAUCAGCGUGUCUUCCCUGGCCGACAGGCCCGGGUAACCCGUUGAACCUCCUUCGUGCUAGGGAUUGGGGCUUGCAAUUGUUCCCCAUGAACGAGGAAUUCCCAGUAAGCGCGAGUCAUAAGCUCGCGUUGAUUACGUCCCUGCCCUUUGUACACACCGCCCGUCGCUACUACCGAUUGAAUGAUUUAGUGAGGUCUUCGGACUGGUGCGCGGCUGUCGGUCUCCGGCAGCCGAUGUUGCCGGGAAGAUGACCAAACUUGAUCAUUUAGAGGAAGUAAAAGU